UAUCUAUAGGGGCUAACCCAGAAGGCUUCCCUUCUUUCUCAUACCUGAGAAAAACAUUUAAGAUAAGGACAUGAACAGAGAGGCAUGUAUGUAUACACACAGACACACCUAUUAUAUUAGGCGUAUACCUCAGAGAUAGCCUGUCCAGGUAUGUCUCUCGCACAAUCGGAAACCAUUUAGGGAACUGAUCAAAUAUCCACGAUACCGCAAACCAUAUUUCACAUAUAUUUGAGGCAUGAGGGUUGCUUUUUCACAUCAAAUAUCCACGAUACCGCAAACCAUAUUUCACAUAUGAUAGAAAUCAGCCACAAUGCAUAUGCAUCAUUGACAGGAUGCGUUAUUCUAUAGUGGAAAAAGAGCCCAACAACAGCAAGACGAACUAAAAUGAGUAAUCUGUAUGGGC
This 403-nucleotide long non-coding RNA is filed under the name Nicotiana benthamiana. RNAcentral describes it as "long non-coding RNA (NBEN_LNC017050)". The record is from RNAcentral. Lineage: Eukaryota; Viridiplantae; Streptophyta; Magnoliopsida; Solanales; Solanaceae.